GGGGCCACUAGGGGCGCAUCGGAAGAUGGCUGACAAUAACAUAUCUCCGACCCACAGGAGGUAAUUAGGAGGCUGUGAUGGGAGUAAAUAGCCUCCCUACCCCCCCCCCCCAGGAUUGUGGGGGGGGCUGCCUUUGCCUGCUGUGCCCUAUACCACCCCCGAAUUUGUGGGGAUGGGGGCACUAGGCAGAAUGCCCUCCUGUGGAUUUCGGUGCUCCUGGACGCAGUCUCUGAUCCGCGCCGCUAGCUGCAAGAACUUCAAAAGGAAUAAUUAGGAAGAAGUGAAUGCACAUAUUUCAAGGAAGGAGGGGGAGUAAAGACUGCUAACUGAAGAGUUCUCUGAUAAACAAGACGAGUCGGAGGAACAAGAAUCAAUCAUGAGAAGAUAUGCCAAGACUCGGUAUGGCAAAGGGACUGGAUGGGGGAGGGGAAAAAACUUUCCUUUCUUUCCUCUAUGCGAUUAAAUAAGAAUCCCCCCCCACACAAGUCAGAAAUGCCGUUUUAAUGACUUAAGCUGUGGAUUUACGACUGUGUGGAGAUGAAUUUUCUAACCAAAGCAUGUUUUAAGAAGAGCGUGGAAAGUUUAAGAGCUUUGGAAUGACGCAGUUAAAAAUACCGUCGCCAUGAUGGCCAGCUCUGUCGGAGGACUUGAGUCUGGGAGGAGGAAAAAAGAUGUUUUUAUAUUGUGAGUGACUCCUCAGUGGAACUUAAGAACGACAGAUCCUGAGAUUAAUGAUGGAAAGAGCGAUGUUAUUUAUGAAAGUGAUGAUAUAUGGAAACCAUCUCGAUACGAGGAUUGGACGAACGGAAAAAUCCACACAGGAUAUAAUUGGUGUUUAUCUGCUUAAGGAGAUUAUCAGAAGAGAUCAU
Molecule: non-coding RNA, 869 nt
Organism: Podarcis lilfordi (Lilford's wall lizard)
Lineage: Eukaryota; Metazoa; Chordata; Lepidosauria; Squamata; Lacertidae
Source: the annotation of a GenBank genome assembly